AGCAACGUGGUGUAGUGGUUUGAGUAUUGGACUGUGACUCUGGAGUCCAAGGUUCAAUUCCUAGCUCAGCCA
This is a non-coding RNA of Phrynosoma platyrhinos (Desert horned lizard), 72 nucleotides long. The record is from the annotation of a GenBank genome assembly. NCBI's taxonomy places the organism in Eukaryota, Metazoa, Chordata, Lepidosauria, Squamata, Phrynosomatidae.